This 91-nucleotide transfer RNA is filed under the name Gemmata obscuriglobus. RNAcentral's name for it is "tRNA-Val". The record is from RNAcentral. Lineage: Bacteria; Pseudomonadati; Planctomycetota; Planctomycetia; Gemmatales; Gemmataceae.
CCGCACGUCGCGGGGUUGAAGCACCUGUCUUUACGCGACGGGCAACUGGACGGUCAGGCGAUGGCGGAGUUCGAUUCCGCGCGUCCGGACC